RNAcentral lists this long non-coding RNA (748 nucleotides) under Brassica rapa (field mustard). Its description in RNAcentral is "long non-coding RNA (BRAP_LNC003293)". Lineage: Eukaryota; Viridiplantae; Streptophyta; Magnoliopsida; Brassicales; Brassicaceae. The record is from RNAcentral.
GAGCUGUGUUUAAAAUGGCGCUCGCCUUUUGCGCCAUGGCGCAAGGCGCACUCAGGCGAUGGCUCUGUCGCCAUGUACCACCUAGGCGAGGGUGGGUUCCCUAAGGCGCGCGCCAUGGGUGCCUUGUCGAGAAGGCGAGCAUGGCAAAGGCGAGCGUAAGGCGAGAUUAAUGUAAACCGUAUCUAAACCAUAUAAGCCUUAAUUAAUAAUUAAACCUUAGACUUUUUUGCUCAAAAAAAAAAAAAUUAAACCUUAGACUUUAAAAAAACUUAACCGGGGAAACUUAAACGCCAAACCCUAGCUUUAUAAAAGAGAAGUUACGUAAAACAUAGAUCUAGAUCUCAAGGUUUUUUGCUUAAGGUUAGAACUCUCUAGUAUAAUAAAGCUUGCAUCUUAUUUAAAUUUAGUAUAUCAAUCAUUGCAUAAGUGUUCUCUAAGUUUCUUCUCCAAUACAAAACAAAACAAGACGUAACUAAAAUGACGUAACUAAAAUUUUCUUCAAGGCGAGCGCCAUAUUGCGCCAUGGCGCGAGGCGCAAGGCUCGGCACGUCUCGCCUUGGUGCGCCAUGCGCCAUUUUAAACACAGAUUCAGAGUUUUGAAGUUUUACACAUCUGAUUGAAUUUAGUGAAUUGUUUAGCCUUCUGAAAGAAAGAAGUGGAUUGAUGGAUGUGGAAUUCUAGAUAGGGAUCUAACUCUAUACUUCCAUCACAACCUCACGCUCACCCUAUCUCCUUUUUUUCUUUUCUC